AGUGAACGCUGGCGGUAGGCCUAACACAUGCAAGUCGAACGGCAGCACAGUAAGAGCUUGCUCUUACGGGUGGCGAGUGGCGGACGGGUGAGGAAUACAUCGGUAUCUACUUUUUCGUGGGGGAUAACGUAGGGAAACUUACGCUAAUACCGCAUACGACCUACGGGUGAAAGCAGGGGAUCUUCGGACCUUGCGCGAUUGAAUGAGCCGAUGUCGGAUUAGCUAGUUGGCGGGGUAAAGGCCCACCAAGGCGACGAUCCGUAGCUGGUCUGAGAGGAUGAUCAGCCACACUGGAACUGAGACACGGUCCAGACUCCUACGGGAGGCAGCAGUGGGGAAUAUUGGACAAUGGGCGCAAGCCUGAUCCAGCCAUACCGCGUGGGUGAAGAAGGCCUUCGGGUUGUAAAGCCCUUUUGUUGGGAAAGAAAAGCAGCAGGUUAAUACCCCGCUGUUUUGACGGUACCCAAAGAAUAAGCACCGGCUAACUUCGUG
This 492-nucleotide ribosomal RNA is filed under the name uncultured bacterium. Its description in RNAcentral is "partial 16S ribosomal RNA". It matches the Rfam family "Bacterial small subunit ribosomal RNA", at positions 29 to 507 of the family's 1533-position model. The record is from RNAcentral.